RNAcentral lists this ribosomal RNA (450 nucleotides) under uncultured bacterium. RNAcentral's name for it is "bacterial SSU rRNA". It matches the Rfam family "Bacterial small subunit ribosomal RNA", at positions 354 to 796 of the family's 1533-position model. The record is from RNAcentral.
GUGGGGAAUUUUGGACAAUGGGCGCAAGCCUGAUCCAGCCAUGCCGCGUGCAGGAUGAAGGCCUUCGGGUUAUAAACUGCUUUUGUACGGAACGAAAAGACUGUGGUUAAUACCUGGGGUUCAUGACGGUACCGUAAGAAUAAGCACCGGCUAACUACGUGCCAGCAGCCGCGGUAAUACGUAGGGUGCGAGCGUUAAUCGGAAUUACUGGGCGUAAAGCGUGCGCAGGCGGUUAUAUAAGACAGAUGUGAAAUCCCCGGGCUCAACCUGGGAACUGCAUUUGUGACUGUAUGGCUAGAGUACGGCAGAGGGGGAUGGAAUUCCGCGUGUAGCAGUGAAAUGCGUAGAUAUGCGGAGGAACACCGAUGGCGAAGGCAAUCCCCUGGGCCUGUACUGACGCUCAUGCACGAAAGCGUGGGGAGCAAACAGGAUUAGAAACCCCAGUAGUCC